This 300-nucleotide ribosomal RNA is filed under the name uncultured Ignicoccus sp. Its description in RNAcentral is "bacterial SSU rRNA". It matches the Rfam family "Bacterial small subunit ribosomal RNA", at positions 496 to 795 of the family's 1533-position model. The record is from RNAcentral. Lineage: Archaea; Thermoproteati; Thermoproteota; Thermoprotei; Desulfurococcales; Desulfurococcaceae.
GCUACCGCCGGGCAGGGAGCCGCGGGAAUACGGAGGGUGCAAGCGUUAUCCGGAUUUACUGGGGUUAAAGGGGUGGUAGGCGGGCCAUUAAGGCAGGGGUGAAAUCCCGGAGCUCAACUCCGGAACUGCCUUUGAUACUAUUGGUCUUGAAUAUUGUUGAGGUGGGCGGAACGGGUCAUGUAGCGGUGAAAUGCAUAGAUAUGACCCGGAACACCGAUUGCGAAGGCAGCCCGCUAAGCAAUGAUUGACGCUGAGGCACGAAAGCGUGGGGAUCAAACAGGAUUAGAUACCCCUGUAGUC